Molecule: non-coding RNA, 750 nt
Organism: Drosophila bipectinata
Lineage: Eukaryota; Metazoa; Arthropoda; Insecta; Diptera; Drosophilidae
Source: RefSeq, a predicted model, not a curated record
UGUUGAUCUAGAUUAGAUCUAGAAGCUUUGUGCUUUUAUGGCUUACAAUUGGACAUUCGGUUUUAAUAAAAAUAAGAGUGGAAAAGAUUUUUUUUAGUGUAUAAAUUAUUUUUCUGAAAUUCUUAAAUUCCAAACAAUGGAAAAAAUUAAAAAUAAAUUCAAUUGAUUCAGUACGCGAAUAGAUAUCAACUCUCUAAGAUGCGUUUAGAUGUCGGAAUAUGUUUGGCCUUUGCCGUAUUUCUGGGGAUUGGCAGUGAAGCAUCCACAUUUUCGGGAAUCUACAAGCAUCCAUGGGACACCAGGAAGUGUUUUUACAAAGGACGGGCCAUACAUAUGGGUCAUACUUGUCGUCCCUUUUCUAUGGGAAAAAAUUGUUGGAUAGCAACAUGUUACAAAAACAGUGUCAUAAAAGGUGUCUCAUGCAGUCCUAUUGAAGUACCCCCUGGAAAAAAACUCGGCCGCUACUUAGACCCCGAUACUAUAUAUCCCUACUGUUGUGAGCGAGAGAUUAUAAAUGGAUAGGCAAAAAGGCCAUAUUUUUUGUUUUAACUAUCUUAGAAAAGAUUAAAAUAAAAACAUUUUGAAUAUUUCUCACGAAAACGAAAUAACCUUGAACUACUUAGCACUGGCAAGGUUUUUGUUUAGUGUAUAAAUUUUUUUCCUUGCAUCUAAGACUCAGAUUACUAGAUUCAAACCUAUUUGUAGACAAUUGAAAAAAUUUAAAAUUAAAUAAAUUCAAUUGAUAAAGUA